RNAcentral lists this unclassified non-coding RNA (415 nucleotides) under soil metagenome. RNAcentral's name for it is "partial contains 5.8S ribosomal RNA, internal transcribed spacer 2, and large subunit ribosomal RNA". The stretch from base 1 to 120 matches the Rfam family "5.8S ribosomal RNA", at positions 35 to 154 of the family's 154-position model. The record is from RNAcentral.
GAUGAAGAACGUAGCGAAAUGCGAUAAGUAAUGUGAAUUGCAGAAUUCAGUGAAUCAUCGAAUCUUUGAACGCACCUUGCACUCCUUGGUAUUCCGAGGAGUACGCCUGUUCGAGUGUUAUGAAGCUCUCAAAACGCAAUUGGCUUAAAACCUGAUUGUUGUUUUGGAUUUGAACUUUGCCGUGUUAUAACGGCUGGUUUUAAAAGUAUUAGCUGGUACUAGAACGAAUUGGUUCUACUCAACGUGAUAAUUAUCUGAUCGUUGAGGACAUACCUUUCACGAGGAAUGGCCAUAGUAAAUUCAAUGGACUGCUUCUAAUCUGGCUUUAAUUCUUUAUUGGAUUAACCACUUUUCAAAUCUGACCUCGAAUCAGGUGGGACUACCCGCUGAACUUAAGCAUAUCAAAAGCGGAGGA